GCUUUAGUAGUUGAGUAACAACGGCGGUUUUUCAGGCCGCAGGUUUUGGGUAUAGGCCAAAUUAAAGUA
This 69-nucleotide transfer RNA is filed under the name Eremias velox (rapid racerunner). RNAcentral's name for it is "tRNA-Glu". The record is from RNAcentral. Lineage: Eukaryota; Metazoa; Chordata; Lepidosauria; Squamata; Lacertidae.